CAGAGAACUUGCCCUUUGGGGUAGAUCUCCCACCCUUUGUUUACCACACCUUUGUUGCUUUGGCAGGCCCGCCUCGGGCCGCUGGCUUCGGCUGGUCAGCGCCUGCCAGAGGAUCUCAAACUCUUGAUUUAGUGUUGUCUGAGUACUUGAUAAUAGUUA
Molecule: unclassified non-coding RNA, 159 nt
Filed under: uncultured Leotiomycetes
Lineage: Eukaryota; Fungi; Ascomycota; Leotiomycetes
Description: sequence contains ITS1
Source: RNAcentral